AGAUUGAACGCUGGCGGCAUGCUUUACACAUGCAAGUCGAACGGUAACAGGCCGCAAGGUGCUGACGAGUGGCGAACGGGUGAGUAAUGUAUCGGAACGUGCCCAGUCGUGGGGGAUAACGCAGCGAAAGCUGCGCUAAUACCGCAUACGAUCUAUGGAUGAAAGCGGGGGACCGUAAGGCCUCGCGCGAUUGGAGCGGCCGAUAUCAGAUUAGGUAGUUGGUGGGGUAAAGGCUCACCAAGCCAACGAUCUGUAGCUGGUCUGAGAGGACGACCAGCCACACUGGGACUGAGACACGGCCCAGACUCCUACGGGAGGCAGCAGUGGGGAAUUUUGGACAAUGGGGGCGCAAGCCUGAUCCAGCGAUGCCGCGUGCAGGAAGAAGGCCUUCGGUUGUAAACUGCUUUGUACGGAACGAAACGGUCCUGUAAUACUGGGCUAAUGACGGUACCGUAAGAAUAAAGCAACCGGCUAAACUACGUA
RNAcentral lists this ribosomal RNA (483 nucleotides) under uncultured soil bacterium. RNAcentral describes it as "bacterial SSU rRNA". It matches the Rfam family "Bacterial small subunit ribosomal RNA", at positions 26 to 507 of the family's 1533-position model. The record is from RNAcentral.